Molecule: ribosomal RNA, 338 nt
Filed under: uncultured bacterium
Lineage: Bacteria
Description: bacterial SSU rRNA
Rfam family: Bacterial small subunit ribosomal RNA
Source: RNAcentral
ACAGAUCGUUCAGAGUUUGAUCCUGGCUCAGGAUGAACGCUAGCUACAGGCUUAACACAUGCAAGUCGAGGGUCUUUUUUAGCUUGCUUUAAAAGACGACCGGCGCACGGGUGAGUAACGCGUAUCCAACCUGCCAUUCAUAUUGGGAUAGCCUUUCGAAAGAGAGAUUAAUACCGAAUAACAUACUGAGUUUGCAUGAAAACAGUAUGAAAGCUGAGGCGAUGAAUGAUGGGGAUGCGUUCCAUUAGGUAGUAGGCGGGGUAACGGCCCACCUAGCCAACGAUGGAUAGGGGUUCUGAGAGGAAGGUCCCCCACACUGGAACUGAGACACGGUCCAG